Molecule: long non-coding RNA, 1181 nt
Filed under: Anolis carolinensis (green anole)
Lineage: Eukaryota; Metazoa; Chordata; Lepidosauria; Squamata; Anolidae
Description: lncRNA (ENSACAG00000043359.1)
Source: RNAcentral
ACAAGCUGCUUCUUGCCAGCAUGCCAAUAACCUUAAAUCAAGAAACAGCUUCCUAAGAGCUACAGAGAUACUUGCAGGAAUACCUCAGCAAGCAAGAGUCCAAAAGUGGCAGGUGAAAACUCGAAACCUCAAUCAGUGGCUGAUAUUGAUGAGAUUCCCUCCUGGGUACACAGAAGACUGGGCAACUUGGAAGGUGCUGAACAGACUGUACUCUGGCACCAUGAGAUGCAGAGCCAGUCUUAAGAAAUGGGGCUACAAAGUACAGCCCAUGACAUGUGAGUGUGGAGAAGAGUUGUUUUUUUGUGUGUGUGUGUGUCAGGAGCAACCGGAGUUGCUUCUGGAGUGAGAGAAUUGGCCGUCUGCGAGGACGUUGCCCAGGGGAUGCCCGGAUGUUUUUUUGAUGUUUUACUGUCCUUGUGGGAGGCUUCUCUCAUGUCCUCGCAUGGAGCUGGAGCUGACAGAGGGAGCUCAUCUGCACUCUCCCCGGGUGGGAUUCGAACCUGGCAGCCUUCAGGUCAUCAACCCAACCUUCAAGUCACGAGGCUUUUAUCCCCUAGGCCACCGGAGUAAACCACAGACUAUUUGCUAAAACGCACAAUGGAGGACCUUCUUACAGCGACACCAGAAGCACUUGAAGUGGCCAACUUCUGGUCAAAGGAAAUUUAGUAUAAUGCCCAGUUUUUAACUUUGUGUUUUUUAUAUACAUUAUAACUGUAUUCUUAAUUUGCUUCUGACAUGAUAAAUUAAUAGCCACAACUUAUCUGUUCCACAACUAAAUCCAAAUCCAAAAGAUACAUCCUGAAAAAGGGAUCCAGCAUGGGAAGAAAACUGUCACAAUUACAUCUCCAUCCAAGCCCAGUGAAUAUUCCUGUAUUUAUUCAGAAGUAAUAACAGAACUGGAAAGAUCAAUACUGUCAAAUGAUCACGUAAGUAAUAUCUGUUAUGUCAUUCUAGCAUAAUAAUUCAUAAUUCUAGGGGAUCAACACUAUCAAAUCACCUCUCUCACCAUUUUUAUUAUGGGCAGAAAUGGGAUUUGAAUAAAGUAGUGUUUCUUCCUCUGUUCCCACUAUACCUUCUUCUCCGACUUCCACCCUUCUUACACUAUCGUCACUACCCAUCUCUGGCUGUUACAACUUUUCUUCUUUCUAAAAUUCCCCUUGAUAUUUUUUUAUCAAUUAGCA